This 253-nucleotide ribosomal RNA is filed under the name uncultured bacterium. RNAcentral describes it as "partial 16S ribosomal RNA". It matches the Rfam family "Bacterial small subunit ribosomal RNA", at positions 524 to 776 of the family's 1533-position model. The record is from RNAcentral.
UACGUAGGGUGCGAGCGUUGUCCGGAAUUAUUGGGCGUAAAGAGCUCGUAGGCGGUUUGUUGCGUCGGCCGUGAAAACUUCACGCUUAACGUGGAGCUUGCGGUCGAUACGGGCAGACUUGAGUUCGGUAGGGGAGACUGGAAUUCCUGGUGUAGCGGUGAAAUGCGUAGAUAUUGGGAGGAACACCAGUGGCGAAGGCGGCUACCUGGACCGGUUCUGACGCUGAUGCGCGAAAGCGUGGGUAGCAAACAGG